ACUACGGGAGGCAGCAGUGAGGAAUAUUGGUCAAUGGGCGGAAGCCUGAACCAGCCAAGUAGCGUGCAGGAUGACGGCCCUACGGGUUGUAAACUGCUUUUAUACGGGAAUAACGCGCCUUACGUGUAGGGCUUUGCAUGUACCGUAUGAAUAAGGACCGGCUAAUUCCGUGCCAGCAGCCGCGGUAAUACGGAAGGUCCGGGCGUUAUCCGGAUUUAUUGGGUUUAAAGGGAGCGUAGGCCGCAUGUCAAGCGUGCUGUGAAAUGUCCGGGCUCAACCCGGGCCUUGCAGCGCGAACUGGCGUGCUUGAGUCCGCGGAAAGUAGGCGGAAUUCGUCGUGUAGCGGUGAAAUGCUUAGAUAUGACGAAGAACCCCGAUUGCGAAGGCAGCUUGCUGCAGCGGAACUGACGCUGAUGCUCGAAAGCGCGGGUAUCGAACAGGAUUAGAUACCCCGGUAGUC
This 460-nucleotide ribosomal RNA is filed under the name uncultured bacterium. RNAcentral describes it as "partial 16S ribosomal RNA". It matches the Rfam family "Bacterial small subunit ribosomal RNA", at positions 338 to 795 of the family's 1533-position model. The record is from RNAcentral.